GACGAACGCUGGCGGCGCGCUUAACACAUGCAAGUCGAACGGAAAGGCCUGCUUUCCCUUGUGGAUUGCGGGUACUCGAGUGGCGAACGGGUGAGUAACACGUGAGUGAUCUGCCCCCAACUUGGGUAUAAGCCUGGGAAACUGGGUCUAAUUCCCGAUAGGACUGCAGGGUGGUGCCUGUGGUGGAAAACGAUUUUCUAGUGGUUGGGGAUGAGCUCGCGGCCUAUCAGCUUGUUGGUGGGGUAAUGGCCUACCAAGGCGGCGACGGGUAGCCGGCCUGGGAGGGUGACCGGGCGAAUGGGGCCUGAGCUCCGGGGGAGACGGCGGUGGGAGGCAGUAGGGGGGAGGGGUGCACCAUGGGCGGAAGCCCGGGGCGGGGAAGCCGGGUUCUGGAUGUGGGCCUUCCGUUUGGACACCGGGAACGCCCGUGAUGGAGAGGGAGUGACGGUAAUGGGUAAAGAAGCACCGGCUAACUACGUG
Molecule: ribosomal RNA, 480 nt
Filed under: uncultured bacterium
Lineage: Bacteria
Description: partial 16S ribosomal RNA
Rfam family: Bacterial small subunit ribosomal RNA
Source: RNAcentral